UUCGGCUCGCCUAAUGCUGCGUCGGUUCCCGCCCUUUUUAAGGCGAAUAGAGGAGUAAUGGGGCCCUGGGACGUGUUGGCUCCUUAUAAGAAAAGGAUAAUAACCCAGGAAUUGUAUUUAACAUAAUCUGUCCCAGAGACGUCAAAUGACCUCAGGUCACCAGUGAGAUAAUCAUCUAGGUCACGCUGUGUUCUAUUAUCUGCUAAACUAAUUAAGAAGGAGUCAUUUGCCAAACAAAGCAACAAGGGUGAUUGACUAUGAAUUAACUAGCAUGGAGCGCUCAUUUGCAUGCCCGCUACCCAGAAUGCCUGGCAAGUGGGAACGUUCUCUGCCUAUGUGAUAGUGCCGGGGUGAGAGUGAUAUCCAUGGGAAACCAUUUGGAUUUAAUUGGAAUAAGUGUACCCCCAGAUCUGUUCUUUUAUUCAUGGAAUCGCUAAGAAUUGAAAACACCAAGCGCCAAUAGUUUCCCAAGGUAGGCAGGUGUCCCGCUAGCUGAUCCAGUUCCAGGCUCACCAAACAUCAAUGUAACCACCCGUAGGACUCAAGGCGCUUUACAGACAUCAAAAACAAUGCACAAAAUACAGAAGAUUUAAGUAAUACAGCAAUUGACAAGCCACAAAGACAUAAAAAGAAAACCUUGAGCACACGCAUGAAACUGCCCCACUGCAGGUAAAGGUGGAAAUACGUAUCCUGUUUUUGUAAAGUUUCUGUGGUGUCCCAACUACAACUAAUCUUCAAGAUAACGGGACCAGUAAUAAAUGGGAGAGAGGAGUCAAUGUAUCCCACAGUAUAAGACGCUUAUUUUAUUCAUUUUCGGUAAAGCAAUUCUUCAAGUCUUUUGAAUCCCCUCUACACACUACUAUACAGCAGAGAUCAGAUGCGGGAGGAGAUGGACAUUGGCUGCGAUGCUGUAUAUACUGUAGCACAGCAGUUCCUGUAAUGGAGUGUGUUCCUACCACACGCUGAAUAUCUGGGAUACAGUGGGUAAGACUGACAGACAUGCCAAACCUGAUGUCAGCUGGAGAAUCACCAUUGCACAAUUACCACAAUGUUUUGGAGAUUUUGUUUAGAGAGCAGCUGUCCACAGCUAGCAGGACUGGUAGGUAAUAGAACAUUUUUCUGCAUUGUCCUUAUUCUUCACUAUGAAGCUCUAUGGAAAUCCACCAGGAUACUGUCACACGUGGAGAUGGGUGAGUGUCUGUCAUUCAUUGGUCCUGGGACUGUGACUCAGGAGAAUAGUAAAAUAUAACUACUGUAUACUGUACGUACAAAAUUACACUGUCUGUUAAAGAGAUACACAAUCUCAGAUGUUCACGUCAAGUUUCCAUAAAGUUUGUAAUCCUGUGAAUCUCUAGUAUUGUAGAACUACAAGUUCCAGCAUACUCCGACAUCCAACAUCUGGAGAGAUACAGGUUGUUUCAGCCCGAUAGCUAUAUUUUAACAUUCUAUAUACAAAAUAACUAUAACUACCUUGCAUUUAUUAACAGUUUCUUAUAUAGUGGCAACAUGUUCCGUUGCGCUAGACAAUUGGUUACAAUGCAGUAAUAAAACAGGACUGGGCAAUAAAAAACAGACAGAGAGGUGAAUGGGCCCUGUUCUCAAGCUUACAACUAUAUUUUAUUUAUUAACGGUUUCUUAUAUAGCGCAACAUAUUCCGUUGCGCUUUACAAUUAGAACAACAGUAAUAGAACAAAACUGGGUAAAAACAGACAUAGAGGUAGGAAGACCCUGCUCGCAAGCUUACAAUCUUCAUUUGGUUUUAUCACACAUUAAUUAACGCGAUGGAAAAAUAAAUACAACUAAUAGGUACAUUAUGUAAAUAGUUUAUUUCAUCAUUAAUAAUUGUACCUGCUAAAACUUUUUUAGAUUGAAGGAGCAUACAAUUUCGCAGUGGUGUAAUACUUCUUCCUGCCUUCAGAGUUGAAGGGUGGCGCUGUCUUCACUGGGGGUAUUUACUGACAACAUGGCUACCUCAUAAAUUUCUAAAUGCAAAAAUCAAGUGGUGCAUGACAGCGAUGAAAGGAGUGUGAAUACAAUGACUUUCCUAUUUUUCUGUUUAAUUAAAGAAAAAAGUUGUGUUUUAUAAAACCACCCUAUUAAAUAAUAAACUCUCUGAAAACGCUAUGGCAGGCCCAUGAGACAAGGCCAUAAAAAUGGCGCCAUUUAAUGGCGAUACAAGAUCUUGACUUGUGGCUAGUUUGCAGCAUAUUUCACAGAUUAUUUAUUGCAUUCUCCCCACUGCAAAAUUAAAAAGCAGCAACUUCUGAUUUAUCUGAUGAAAGCAACCAAAAUAUAACUCUUAUUUUCCUUGACGAAUCUGGCGUUGUUGUCUCGGAGGCUUCGGUACUUUAUUAUUGUUAUCUGGAAUAAAAAAUAAUGCUGCACGAAUGCUUGGAAACAGGAACCUCCAACACAAACAAUGUGUAUAUAUGGAAUACACGUUUCCCGGGAUCAAUAAUAGGUCAGUGUUACUCCUCUUUUUCUUUUUUUGCAAUAUUUCCAUUUUCUGGCUUGCUAGAUAAGUACAAUAUACAUAUGGAUACAAGUAAAAAAUAAAGAAACCUUUAAAUAUCUCAGCUGCAAAUGUUCUACAUGUUUUCCUAUUUUGCAGCCUGAUUUCUGUCCCCUGUAAAGAAAACUGAACGUGUUUUUUUUGUUGUGUUUUUCUUCUUCUUUCUUUUAAUAACCCAAAUAUUACGUAUUAAAGACUCGCAGUGACUCACAAUGACAAAAAACUGUAUUUUUCCAAUACACACCAGCACACAUUUAAUAACCUCCCAUGCUUCUCGGCUAGGCCCUCUGUCUGAUGGUUACUAUGGCAACACAGAUAAAACGCAGCCAUUUUCCAUAUCUCUAUGAAAGUCUAUUAUAUUGCAGGAUUAGUUCAUUUUCUCAUAAGGUCAAACACAAAGUCACACAACCUGAAAUAUUUAGAAUCUAUGUACACUGGAUUUUUUUUUUCCUUUGGCCUUUCAGCAUCCACAGAAGGGUGAGGUUUUAAAGGGGUGUUUCUGCUCUGAAAAUGUUAAGCAAUAAUGUGUGAUUAAUAACUGAGGAAAGACACAAUUGUUUUUUGUUUUUUUUCCUCUUAGCCUUUUUAAUAGUUAGGGUGCAUUAUCUAUCCAUCUCUGCCUGGGAGUUAUGCUUAUAUGAUUCACAUAAUUGCAUGGUGUCUGCAAUAUGCAAGCGGACAGCGCCAUCUGCUGCUGGUUACUGCAAGUUGCAGUCGGUCCAUUUAUUUCUAAAUGACUGUGUA
This is a long non-coding RNA of Pseudophryne corroboree (corroboree frog), 3256 nucleotides long. RefSeq lists it as uncharacterized. The transcript has 11 exons. The record is from RefSeq and is a predicted model, not a curated record. NCBI's taxonomy places the organism in Eukaryota, Metazoa, Chordata, Amphibia, Anura, Myobatrachidae.